GCAGUGUAGAGUAACUGGUUAACUUAUUGGGUUCAUGCCCCAAGGAUAAUGGUUCGAAUCCAUUUACUGCAA
Molecule: transfer RNA, 72 nt
Filed under: Ankistrodesmus falcatus
Lineage: Eukaryota; Viridiplantae; Chlorophyta; Chlorophyceae; Sphaeropleales; Selenastraceae
Description: tRNA-Met
Rfam family: tRNA
About the family: Transfer RNA (tRNA) molecules are approximately 80 nucleotides in length.
Source: RNAcentral